AUAAUGGGUCAGCGACUUAUAUUCUGUAGCAAGGUUAACCGAAUAGGGGAGCCGAAGGGAAACCGAGUCUUAACUGGGCGUUAAGUUGCAGGGUAUAGACCCGAAACCCGGUGAUCUAGCCAUGGGCAGGUUGAAGGUUGGGUAACACUAACUGGAGGACCGAACCGACUAAUGUUGAAAAAUUAGCGGAUGACUUGUGGCUGGGGGUGAAAGGCCAAUCAAACCGGGAGAUAGCUGGUUCUCCCCGAAAGCUAUUUAGGUAGCGCCUCGUGAAUUCAUCUCCGGGGGUAGAGCACUGUUUCGGCAAGGGGGUCAUCCCGACUUACCAACCCGAUGCAAACUGCGAAUACCGGAGAAU
RNAcentral lists this ribosomal RNA (358 nucleotides) under Escherichia coli. RNAcentral describes it as "partial 23S ribosomal RNA". It matches the Rfam family "Bacterial large subunit ribosomal RNA", at positions 612 to 971 of the family's 2925-position model. Lineage: Bacteria; Pseudomonadati; Pseudomonadota; Gammaproteobacteria; Enterobacterales; Enterobacteriaceae. The record is from RNAcentral.